Molecule: ribosomal RNA, 509 nt
Filed under: uncultured bacterium
Lineage: Bacteria
Description: partial 16S ribosomal RNA
Rfam family: Bacterial small subunit ribosomal RNA
Source: RNAcentral
GACGAACGCUGGCGGCGUGCUUAACACAUGCAAGUCGAACGGAAAGGCCCUGCUUUUGUGGGGUGCUCGAGUGGCGAACGGGUGAGUAACACGUGAGUAACCUGCCCUUGACUUUGGGAUAACUUCAGGAAACUGGGGCUAAUACCGGAUAGGAGCUCCUGCUGCAUGGUGGGGGUUGGAAAGUUUCGGCGGUUGGGGAUGGACUCGCGGCUUAUCAGCUUGUUGGUGGGGUAGUGGCUUACCAAGGCUUUGACGGGUAGCCGGCCUGAGAGGGUGACCGGCAGCGUUGGGGGUGAGACACGACCCGGAGCGGUGGGGGAGGAAGAAGGGGGAAACAGAGGACGGGGGGCGGGAGGCCGCUGCAGCAAGGCGGCGGGGGGGAUGACGGGCGUCGGGUUGUAACCCGCGUUCGCCUGUGACGAGGCGUGAGUGAGGGAAGUGUGAAAAGAGGGAAAGGAUAAACGCGCGCCAUCAGCUGGGAUAAUAAGCGGAAGAGCAUCCGCCAGAUC